This 442-nucleotide ribosomal RNA is filed under the name uncultured bacterium. RNAcentral describes it as "partial 16S ribosomal RNA". It matches the Rfam family "Bacterial small subunit ribosomal RNA", at positions 338 to 795 of the family's 1533-position model. The record is from RNAcentral.
CCUACGGGAGGCUGCAGUAGGGAAUCUUUCACAAUGGGCGAAAGCCUGAUGGAGCAACGCCGCGUGAAGGAUGAAGGCCUUCGGGUUGUAAACUGCUUUUAUAAGCGAGAAAUAUGAUGGUAACUUAUGAAUAAGGAUCGGCUAACUACGUGCCAGCAGCCGCGGUCAUACGUAGGAUCCGAGCAUUAUCCGGAGUGACUGGGUGUAAAGAGUUGCGUAGGUGGCAUAAUAAGUAGCUAGGGAAAUCUGGUGGCUCAACCAUUCAGACUAUUAGCUAAACUGUUAAGCUCGAGACCGUUAGGGGUAACUAGAAUUUCUAGUGUAGGAGUGAAAUCCGUAGAUAUUAGAAGGAACACCAAUAGCGUAGGCAGGUUGCUGGGACGGUUCUGACACUAAGGCACGAAAGCGUAGGGAGCAAACGGGAUUAGAUACCCCAGUAGUC